UUUAUACUGUUAACUUUUUCUGUGGGAACAUCGCUAAUCUUUUUACUAUUAUUUUCAGGUACAUUGAAGAUUCUACAUCCGACAAAGAAUGAAGCCUAUUACUAAGUAGUAGAAAUAUUAUAUAUCUUUUUAAGGAAUAUGUUUUGAUAAAUAGUACGUACUUGUAUUUCUGUUUAAGAAGUAUGUUUUGAUGAAUAUUAUACACUAUGUUUUUUAACGGCAGCUACUACUUUAUUAAGUGUUUGCUUAAAUAGACAUUUUUAGUAGUAUAUCAGUACUUAAGUUGGGUUCAUGCUGUAGAUUCUCUCUUUCCGCUCAAACAAUUCUCUAUGUAAUUUUAUUGGCAUAACAUCUGUUUAACCAUAAAUACAAACUCAUCAUUUCUUUGUAGUUUUACCUCUGUAAUAUAACUGCUGAUUAACUUUCUGAUCCAAAUCGCAGCAAUAAUCACUUGUAUGAUACCAUGAGUUAUAUUAAAAUCUUAACCUUCAGGAUUAAUUGCAAAACAACAUCCAAUACAAACCUAAAUCUGACACAAGUUACACAACAGUCCUUAUUGUUGUCACUUCUCCUAAACACUUUUUUUUUGUCAUUCUUUUGCAGACCACCUUUUAAACCAUAAAUGUAAACCCGCCGUUUGUACAUGUUUUUACUAUUUCAGCUUAAUUUAUUAUCAUCAGUUUUUUCCCAUACCUAAUUAGUGCCCUAAUAUGUAAAUAUAUAUUUAGUAUUAAUUUCUUAUAAAAUAAUUAAUAUAGUUAUAUUUGUUGUGUUAUUUUUUUAAUACCUUGGUCUUUUUCAUGAGAAUAUCAGCCAAAUUUAGCGGCUAUGUAACAUACAUGAUAUCGUUUAUGUUAUGAAUGUGUUUCCUCCUUCCCUUAAUGAACUGCCUCUGUUGCAAAUACCAUUACCGUCCUAGCUACAGCGAAAAAGUUUUAUCUUUCUGUCCUACCUUCUUUUUCUAAAUAUACUCACUACGGAAAUAAAUCUUAAUCGAAAAUAUUAAUGGAUAAUAUUAAAAUUAAAAUUAAUAUUUCUAAUAAUUGGUUGUUGUAUCAACUUCCUGUUGCAACACGCAAGAUUCUGUUUACCUUUAUUUCUAAAUAUACUCACUACGAAAAUAAAUAUUAUUAAAAAAUAUUAAUGAAUAAUAUCUAAAAAUAAUGUUAUCGAUUUUAAUAAUUAACUAUUGUAUUAAUUUCCCGCCGCAACGCGCGGGGUUCCGUAACUAGUAUCUAAAGAAGUUCC
RNAcentral lists this long non-coding RNA (1248 nucleotides) under Ananas comosus (pineapple). RNAcentral's name for it is "long non-coding RNA (ACOM_LNC033762)". The record is from RNAcentral. Lineage: Eukaryota; Viridiplantae; Streptophyta; Magnoliopsida; Poales; Bromeliaceae.